AUCGACCUAUCAUUUAUUUUAACCCGUUUCACUUCCAAAAAACCAUUAUCGAACCCAAAGUUCACCCCAUGCUUCUCUAAUCUCUUUCUCUCCUCUUUUCCUUCUCAUUGUUAUAACUAUGGCCGAAAUUUCCACUGGCGAACUUGUUGGGAAACGAUAGAAAAUCUUCAGAUUUGGAAAAAUAUGUACAAGAGGUCAAAGAUUUAAAAGCUUUGGUUGGGAUUUUACUGGAUCUGAUCAUGAAUAUAUUUUUUCGGCGAGCACUGCUUUAUAUUUUCAUUUUUUUAAUUUUUUUUCACAUCUGGAGACGGAAGAGAUAGUUAAAACUUUGACCAUCCAUUUUUUACAGCUCCGGCAAACCUGCGGCGACUUCUGAUCCUACACUGCUGCCUCGUCCCUUGUUUCUUAUGUUUGUCACGAACAAGUGAUUUUGCAUAGUUAGAGGAGAUUUUUUAUUGGUACAUUGAUCACCUUUAUAUUUUUUUCCACUGAAUGAAAAGGGCUCUUUUAGAAUUGGAAUGUAAUGUUCAUCCUCAUGAAGCUCUAUCUCUUUGACUUUUCAUUUGAGG
This 569-nucleotide long non-coding RNA is filed under the name Nicotiana benthamiana. Its description in RNAcentral is "long non-coding RNA (NBEN_LNC036393)". The record is from RNAcentral. Lineage: Eukaryota; Viridiplantae; Streptophyta; Magnoliopsida; Solanales; Solanaceae.